RNAcentral lists this ribosomal RNA (505 nucleotides) under uncultured bacterium. Its description in RNAcentral is "partial 16S ribosomal RNA". It matches the Rfam family "Bacterial small subunit ribosomal RNA", at positions 28 to 507 of the family's 1533-position model. The record is from RNAcentral.
GACGAACGCUGGCGGCGUGCCUAAUACAUGCAAGUAGAACGCACAGUUUAUACCGUAGCUUGCUACACCAUAGACUGUGAGUUGCGAACGGGUGAGUAACGCGUAGGUAACCUGCCUGGUAGCGGGGGAUAACUAUUGGAAACGAUAGCUAAUACCGCAUAAUAUUAAUUAUUGCAUGAUAAUUAAUUGAAAGGUGCAAUUGCACCACUACCAGAUGGACCUGCGUUGUAUUAGCUAGUAGGUGAGGUAACGGCUCACCUAGGCGACGAUACAUAGCCGAACUGAGAGGGUGAUCGGCCACACUGGGAAUGAGACACGGCCCAGACUCCUACGGGAGGCAGCAGUAGGGAAUCUUCGGCAAUGGAGGAAAGGCUGACCGAGCAACGCCGCGUGAGGGAAGAAGGGUGUCGGAUCGGAAAGCUCGGUUGUAAGAGAAGAACGGGUGUGGGAGUGGAAAGUUCACACUGUGACGGUAUCUUACCAGAAAGGGACGGCUAACUACGUG